UGCAUACAUUCGUAAUAAACGUCACCGUCAAGUUUAUCCUCAACUUGAUUGGAAGCACACGCCAGAUCAAAAGGUUGGGAUUUGUCAUGGCCAACCAGAUCAUCGUUAAACCAUCACCACCCAGCGACAAACAUGUUUUGGUUCGUGGGGAAUGCACUGAAUUUCAUUUUGGUUGUUGACGCGAUGACAUUAAAAACAAACACACACACACACACACACACGACAACGAGUAAAUUCUCUUUCUCUCUUCUGCAUUCAUUCUUAACUCUGUCCAUGUAUGUAGAUUUAUUAGGAGCCGAUGUGCAAGAUGUGAGAGCAGGUGCCCAUUCUCUGCCAACAUGUGCGAGAUGUGAGAGCAGCCGCCCAAUUGUUUCCCAAUCGAGGUAGACAACUGGGCAACGAACGCCAGUUGGUAACAAAAAAAAGGCAAGGCAGGCAUCGGAAUGGAGUGGGGCAUAUGCAAAGCUGCCGCCCGAGGCACCACUGACGAAAUGCCUCGUCGCGACCAUUAAAAGGAGCGACAGCGCAGCGUUGCUGUAUCUCUAGAUGUCUGUUUGUUUCGUCGAUUGUGGCGGCGUUCUGAGGAGCCGGUGGGUCUGUACCCAGAUAUUCAUUCGGUGUCAAGGACGAGCUGCACAGCUCCGUGAUCUGCCAGAAGGCGUGAGAAUUCUAUGCAAUGGGGACAUCGAAGGGCGUUGUGCACAAUUCGGCGAGAGGGCUUUGAGCUGCGUCAUUUUUCUUCUCAAUCCGUGUCCUGGUGACCUUGACGCUGGAGUGUUUUGCUUGCUUGGUUGAAGCGCUGACUGCCGCUGUCGCUUGCCUUUCUGAUGCCGCUGGCGCGCACGCGCAGGAGCUUUGUGACGCACCCCAGAAUUGCCUUGUUUCUCAUUCAAUCCUUUUGUGCGGAGCCCUGGUUUUUGUAAUCCUCAUUGUUUCUUCUUCAUACAAAUAAUGUUCAUAACUUUAUAUAUGUGUUUCUUCGAGCACUUGACUUUAGAUUCGUUAUUACUUGUAAGAAAAACUUCACUGAAUCUUAUCAAAAUGACAUAUUCUUAGAUAUAUAAUGUAUACUUGUUAAUGCAACAAAUGCACUGGUUAAUUUAGGACAUGUCUUCAUUGAGAUUUAGAUGGGUUCCUUGUAGUUUUUCACUGAAUCUUAUCAAAAUGACAUAUUCUUAGAUAUAUAAUGUAUACUUGUUAAUGCAACAAAUGCACUGGUUAAUUUAGGACAUGUCUUCAUUGAGAUUUAGAUGGGUUCCUUGUAGUUUUCUAAUUUAUAACUUUACUGAGACUUUACUGGUCACGUUUAUUGAACUUCAUGUCAAAUUUUAUGCUCUCAUUUGGUAUACGAUCACAUAUGCAUGAUGUAGAUUGUAAAGCAAACUAUCAUAUUUUGAUUAGGUUACAUAUAAUGAAAUGUGCAUACUUGUGCGUGUGUCUGAGGAUUGUGUAAUUGUUUAAAGUUGAACUGCAUCGUCUGAUCACAUUUUCUUUGUAACUAUGAGCACACGUGAUAAAAUUAAUUGUUGAAGCGACUGCCAAGUGGUUGAGGUACUAAAAAUGUGAUCAGACUACUUUAGAACCAUCAUUUUAAGUAUUAACGAUGACAUUUCACAGUAAAAAUCAAUGUCUUGACAAAAACGAUUUGAGAAUUUUCAAUCAUUGACAUAUUCUUUUAAACCUUUUACUGAAAUCUAUAACAAUAAUAAUAAGAGGAAAACCCCCAGUAACAAACCAAAAUUUCAGUGGCAACUUCAUCCCAUUCAGGAAGGCAGUGCUUCCCACUCCCAACUCCUGGCCCACAACCGGACCUUAGAUUCACCAUGUGCUUUUCAAGCUCUCAAGUAGAAAAGCCCUACAAUUAAGGUGCUUAAGAGUCGACGAAGAACGUCCAAAGGGGCUGUUCCGAAUCUGGGCAAUCCUCAACUGCUCAAUGUUAGCUGCCAUAGUGCAAAGGGAAUGAAUGCGGAGAUGCCGCCCCAGGAUAACGCGUAAUCCAGCCAUGUCAACGCCGCGGCGUGGUGGUUAUAGCGGGUUUCACUCCAUGGCGUGACCCAAUUUCCGAUGACAGAAAUCGGUACCCCAGGUGGGUGAGUUGGGUGGGUGCUACGAUCAAGGCUGAGAUAUGCCUUCUUCUUCAUCCGCCUUUCAUGGAUUGGCUGCUCUUCCUCCGAUCACAAACAAAUUGGUAGCAGUCAUCGCCGAUCGACUGACACAACGCGUUUUCGUGGACUGUCGGUGAUUGGCGCUGGCAUUCAUGGAAAGGGACGAUUUCCUUCUGCGAGCAUUGGAACUUCUGUGAGCCUUUGCAGGAGUUGUGGGAUUAAUUAGUUGGUGGUUAGGGGAUUUAAGGUUUUGUAGAUUAAUUACUCCAGAAGUAGAACAGAAUAAACCCUAAUUUUUGUCUCCAUUAAAAAAUCAGUAGGUCUGUUUAGGGAUUUAGAGAAAGAAAAAGAAAGUGUGUGUUGGUGAUGACCUCUCAAAAUGAGAUCUUCUCAUAUGACUUGAAUUGGGUCUUUUAUUUUAUUUUAUUCAUCCCAAAUUUAGCCAUAAUCUUUAGUGGUUGAAUUCUAUUUG
Non-coding RNA from Physcomitrium patens, 2577 nucleotides. The record is from RefSeq and is a predicted model, not a curated record. NCBI's taxonomy places the organism in Eukaryota, Viridiplantae, Streptophyta, Bryopsida, Funariales, Funariaceae.